This 460-nucleotide ribosomal RNA is filed under the name uncultured bacterium. Its description in RNAcentral is "partial 16S ribosomal RNA". It matches the Rfam family "Bacterial small subunit ribosomal RNA", at positions 338 to 795 of the family's 1533-position model. The record is from RNAcentral.
CCUACGGGUGGCUGCAGUGAGGAAUAUUGGUCAAUGGGCGCUAGCCUGAACCAGCCAAGUAGCGUGAAGGAUGACUGCCCUAUGGGUUGUAAACUUCUUUUAUAUGGGAAUAACUUGCAUUAUGUAUAAUGCUUUGCAUGUACCUUAUGAAUAAGGAUCGGCUAACUCCGUGCCAGCAGCCGCGGUAAGACGGAGGAUCCGCGCGUUAUCCGGAUUUAUUGGGUUUAAAGGGAGCGUAGGCGGGUUGUUAAGUCAGUUGUGAAAGUUGGGGGCUCAACCGUAGAAUUGCAGUUGAUACUGGCAUCCUUGAGUACAGUAGAGGUAGGCGGAAUGCGUGGUGUAGCGGUGAAAUGCUUAGAGAUCACGAAGAACUCCGAUUGCGAAGGCAGCCUGCUGGACUGUAACUGACGCUGAUGCUCGAAAGUGUGGGUAUCAAACAGGAUUAGAUACCCGGGUAGUC